GGAAUGUUGUCUGGUUCAAGG
This 21-nucleotide microRNA is filed under the name Oryza sativa (Asian cultivated rice). RNAcentral's name for it is "osa-miR166e-5p". Its record names the gene osa-miR166a-5p. RNAcentral also lists the same sequence under 4 other names. The record is from miRBase by way of RNAcentral. Lineage: Eukaryota; Viridiplantae; Streptophyta; Magnoliopsida; Poales; Poaceae.